Long non-coding RNA from Ictidomys tridecemlineatus (thirteen-lined ground squirrel), 1002 nucleotides. RefSeq lists it as uncharacterized. The record is from RefSeq and is a predicted model, not a curated record. NCBI's taxonomy places the organism in Eukaryota, Metazoa, Chordata, Mammalia, Rodentia, Sciuridae.
AGGCGGGGCACCAGGCUGGGGACGCCGGGACCGCGGGAGACCCAGACAAAGACGAUCCCUGAAAAGGACACCCCGGAGAGACCAGCAGAGCGCGCCCUGCACGGAACAGAAGCGAAGAAAGGGGCUGGUGGGGGAAUCUGAAAGAACGGGGUGCCGGGGCCGCUGCCGGGGUCUCUCCCCUCCCCUCCUCCUGCUGCUGGAUGGGCACGCCUGGGCCGACGCCGACGUGCCGGAAUUCGGCUUUUGCGCCCCUGCACUGCUGCUGCCAGUGCUGCGGCCCCCUGUCCCUCCAGCAGCCACUCGCUUUCAAAGUUCCUUGGCCUUGACCCGACCUAUCCCAGAAGUUUCAGGACUGCCCAAGGACAUGGAGGAGUAGACUGGGGUGACAGAGGCCUUCCUUGGCUGCUGAUGCUCAGGUCUGCCCUGUGUCCUUGUCAAGGGCCAUCAAGUUGCUACUUGCUUAUCCCCAGUGACUGAGCACUCACCCCUUCUCUGUGCAUUUCCACCCUGUCGUUGGACAGCUCCUACAGUCAUUUUGGCAUAAGGCAACAAAUGAUAACAGUGAACACUACUGGCACCAGUCCACACUGUGGACCCAUUCAUGCAUCCAGUCACCAGUCAUUCAGCAGGUAGAGGAUAAACAUCCAUGUGCCAUCCCCUCUGCAAGACGCUGGAAAUGAAAAGGUGAGAAAGCCCAAGCUGCCCUACCCUCUGUGACCCUGGACAAGUGGCACUGCCUAUUUGAGCCUCACUUUCCUCCUCUGUCAACUAGGAUUAAGGAGGCAUGGUUGGAAAAUUAAAUGAGAUAACACAGUGCCUCCUCUUAUCUCAUUUAACACGUGUUAUCUGGGCAUGGUGCCUGGCAUAUGGCUGGUCAUCUCUCAAUAAACAGAACUGUCAUUCUAUUAUUCCUCACGGUCCCUGCCCUCAAGAACGUAGAGAAACUUGAGGAAGGAGCAGAACAUUCUGUUUUGAGGACAGUCACAGAGGGUAGUACCAGAG